This 253-nucleotide ribosomal RNA is filed under the name uncultured bacterium. RNAcentral's name for it is "partial 16S ribosomal RNA". It matches the Rfam family "Bacterial small subunit ribosomal RNA", at positions 524 to 776 of the family's 1533-position model. The record is from RNAcentral.
UACGUAGGGACCGAGCGUUGUCCGGAAUCAUUGGGCGUAAAGAGCGUGUAGGCGGCCACUUAAGUCCUGCGUGAAAUCUUGCGGCUCAACCGCAAGCGGUCGUGGGAAACUGGGUGGCUAGAGUGCGGGAGAGGAGAGUGGAAUUCCUGGUGUAGCGGUGGAAUGCGCAGAUAUCAGGAGGAACACCCGUGGCGAAAGCGGCUCUCUGGGACGGUACUGAUGCUGAGACGCGAAAGCGUGGGGAGCAAACAGG